GAUGAACGCUGGCGGCGUGCCUAAUACAUGCCAGUCGAGCGAACAGACGAGGAGCUUGCUCCUCUGACGUUAGCGGCGGACGGGUGAGUAACACGUGGAUAACCUACCUAUAAGACUGGGAUAACUUCGGGAAACCGGAGCUAAUACCGGAUAAUAUAUUUAACCGCAUGGUUCAAUAGUGAAAGACGGUUUUGCUGUCACUUAUAGAUGUAUCCGCGCCGCAUUAGCUAGUUGGUAAGGUAACGGCUUACCAAGGCAACGAUGCGUAGCCGACCUGAGAGGGUGAUCGGCCACACUGGAACUGAGACACGGUCCAGACUCCUACGGGAGGCAGCAGUAGGGAAUCUUCCGCAAUGGGCGAAAGCCUGACGGAGCAACGCCGCGUGAGUGAUGAAGGUCUUCGGAUCGUAAAACUCUGUUAUUAGGGAAGAACAAAUGUGUAAGUAACUAUGCACGUCUUGACGGUACCUAAUCAGAAAGCCACGGCUAACUACGUG
RNAcentral lists this ribosomal RNA (497 nucleotides) under uncultured bacterium. Its description in RNAcentral is "partial 16S ribosomal RNA". It matches the Rfam family "Bacterial small subunit ribosomal RNA", at positions 28 to 507 of the family's 1533-position model. The record is from RNAcentral.